AAAUUGAAGAGUUUGAUCAUGGCUCAGAUUGAACGCUGGCGGCAGGCCUAACACAUGCAAGUCGAACGGUAACAGGAAGCAGCUUGCUGUUUCGCUGACGAGUGGCGGACGGGUGAGUAAUGUCUGGGAAACUGCCUGAUGGAGGGGGAUAACUACUGGAAACGGUAGCUAAUACCGCAUAACGUCGCAAGACCAAAGAGGGGGACCUUCGGGCCUCUUGCCAUCGGAUGUGCCCAGAUGGGAUUAGCUAGUAGGUGGGGUAACGGCUCACCUAGGCGACGAUCCCUAGCUGGUCUGAGAGGAUGACCAGCCACACUGGAACUGAGACACGGUCCAGACUCCUACGGGAGGCAGCAGUGGGGAAUAUUGCACAAUGGGCGCAAGCCUGAUGCAGCCAUGCCGCGUGUAUGAAGAAGGCCUUCGGGUUGUAAAGUACUUUCAGCGGGGAGGAAGGGAGUAAAGUUAAUACCUUUACUCAUUGACGUUACCCGCAGAAGAAGCACCGGCUAACUCCGUGCCAGCAGCCGCGGUAAUACGGAGGGUGCAAGCGUUAAUCGGAAUUACUGGGCGUAAAGCGCACGCAGGCGGUUUGUUAAGUCAGAUGUGAAAUCCCCGGGCUCAACCUGGGAACUGCAUCU
RNAcentral lists this ribosomal RNA (638 nucleotides) under Shigella flexneri. RNAcentral describes it as "bacterial SSU rRNA". It matches the Rfam family "Bacterial small subunit ribosomal RNA", at positions 1 to 628 of the family's 1533-position model. Lineage: Bacteria; Pseudomonadati; Pseudomonadota; Gammaproteobacteria; Enterobacterales; Enterobacteriaceae. The record is from RNAcentral.